UUAAAAUACGCAACCAACCGUCAUUGAACCGUCCAAUCAGAUCAAAGGAGUAAUCGUUGUAGAUCGUGCGUUAUCGAUGAUGUUCGGUACCUGGAGAAAAUUGACAAUUGACAAGAGAAUUAAUUGUUUAUUAUUUAUUAUUUUUGACUUUUUAGUUCGUUUAAUUUAAUAAUUACUAAAACCAGUAGUUCGAAAGAUAUAUUUAAAAAUAAAAGAUAAAAAUCCAAAAAAUUAAUUAUCUAUUAACGUGGAUUUGGACGACAAUAGGUUUUUAGUUUGUGAUGUUUCAUGUGAUGAUCAUUUUCAUGUUCAUCGUCUUUGAAUUGACAUGAGGAUAUCUAUGGAAAAGUAACUAAUCUGAAAGUAAGCCAACAUAUCGUUUGUCCUUUGUGUGCUAAAGAAAAGAUUUUCUUUUCGCAUCGUGAGGAAGUAUUACAUCAAUUAAAAAAUGUUAGGAAGUUGAUUACUUGUCAUGGAAAAGUAUACCAAUGGAAAUUAUUUGUUAAAGAAGUAUAAUUCUAAGGGUUUUAAGAAUAAAUUGGUUGAACCCAAAAUCUGGAGGAAGUACCUAUAUCCAUACACAGAAUAUGCCCAUUAAGAAUACUAGUCCAAAUUUGCUUUAAUGGAACGAUUAGGGCCCGAUAUAUUUGAAACUCAUGUUGGACAUAGUAUUGAGUUGGGUAGAAUAUUAUUCUACGUUAAGUGAGGAUAUCAGAUACCUAUUAUUGUACUGUAUUUUAAUAUAUACAUUAGAAUUGUUGGUUUUUU
Sitophilus oryzae (rice weevil) is the source of this 768-nucleotide long non-coding RNA. RefSeq lists it as uncharacterized. The transcript is spliced from 4 exons. The record is from RefSeq and is a predicted model, not a curated record. NCBI's taxonomy places the organism in Eukaryota, Metazoa, Arthropoda, Insecta, Coleoptera, Curculionidae.